Molecule: ribosomal RNA, 253 nt
Filed under: uncultured bacterium
Lineage: Bacteria
Description: partial 16S ribosomal RNA
Rfam family: Bacterial small subunit ribosomal RNA
Source: RNAcentral
UACGAAGGGGGCUAGCGUUGCUCGGAAUUACUGGGCGUAAAGGGCGCGUAGGCGGUUUCGUUAGUCAGGCGUGAAAUUCCUGGGCUUAACCUGGGGACUGCGCUUGAUACAGCGAGACUUGAGGUCAGAAGAGGGUCGUGGAAUUCCCAGUGUAGAGGUGAAAUUCGUAGAUAUCUGGAGGAACACCGGUGGCGAAGGCGGCAUCCUGGACCAAUUCUGACACUGAGGAGCGAAAGCCAGGGGAGCAAACGGG